UACGUAGGGGGCAAGCGUUAUCCGGAUUUACUGGGUGUAAAGGGAGCGUAGACGGCGGUGCAAGCCAGAUGUGAAAGCCCGGGGCUCAACCCCGGGACUGCAUUUGGAACUGUAUGGCUGGAGUGUCGGAGAGGCAGGCGGAAUUCCUAGUGUAGCGGUGAAAUGCGUAGGUAUUAGGAGGAACACCAGUGGCGAAGGCGGCCUGCUGGACGAUGACUGACGUUGAGGCUCGAAAGCGUGGGGAGCAAACAGG
This 253-nucleotide ribosomal RNA is filed under the name uncultured bacterium. RNAcentral describes it as "partial 16S ribosomal RNA". It matches the Rfam family "Bacterial small subunit ribosomal RNA", at positions 524 to 776 of the family's 1533-position model. The record is from RNAcentral.